AUACCUACGGGAGGCAGCAGUAGGGAAUCUUCCACAAUGGGCGAAAGCCUGAUGGAGCAACGCCGCGUGGGUGAAGAAGGUCUUCGGAUCGUAAAACCCUGUUGUUAGAGAAGAAAGUGCGUGAGAGUAACUGUUUACGUUUCGACGGUAUCUAACCAGAAAGCCACGGCUAACUACGUGCCAGCAGCCGCGGAAAUACGUAGGUGGCAAGCUUUAUCCGGAUUUAUUGGGCGUAAAGGGAACGCAGGCGUUCUUUUAAGUCUGAUGUGAAAACCUUCGGCUUAAC
This 286-nucleotide ribosomal RNA is filed under the name uncultured bacterium. RNAcentral's name for it is "partial 16S ribosomal RNA". It matches the Rfam family "Bacterial small subunit ribosomal RNA", at positions 335 to 613 of the family's 1533-position model. The record is from RNAcentral.